UAGGGAAUCUUCCACAAUGGACGAAAGUCUGAUGGAGCAACGCCGCGUGAGUGAUGAAGGGUUUCGGCUCGUAAAACUCUGUUGUUGGAGAAGAACGGGUGUCAGAGUAACUGUUGACAUCGUGACGGUAUCCAACCAGAAAGCCACGGCUAACUACGUGCCAGCAGCCGCGGUAAUACGUAGGUGGCAAGCGUUGUCCGGAUUUAUUGGGCGUAAAGCGAGCGCAGGCGGUUUUUUAGGUCUGAUGUGAAAGCCUUCGGCUUAACCGGAGAAGUGCAUCGGAAACCGGGAGACUUGAGUGCAGAAGAGGACAGUGGAACUCCAUGUGUAGCGGUGAAAUGCGUAGAUAUAUGGAAGAACACCAGUGGCGAAGGCGGCUGUCUGGUCUGCAACUGACGCUGAGGCUCGAAAGCAUGGGUAGCGAACAGGAUUAGAUACCCUGGUAGUCCAUGCCGUAAACGAUGAGUGCUAAGUGUUGGAGGGUUUCCGCCCUUCAGUGCUGCAGUUAAACGCAUUAAGCACUCCG
This 526-nucleotide ribosomal RNA is filed under the name uncultured bacterium. Its description in RNAcentral is "partial 16S ribosomal RNA". It matches the Rfam family "Bacterial small subunit ribosomal RNA", at positions 355 to 871 of the family's 1533-position model. The record is from RNAcentral.